GUUCCUCAACUGCGUUGCCCCUCCAGUCAGCAGAUGGCGAUGUGCGUCUUUUACGUUCAGGCGACGCUGCCAGUGUGACGUAUAAUCUAGUGGACGGGACGCUCCUUCAACAACAACAGUUAGACACCUCGGUAGCUUUCUAGCAAACAUAGCUACAACAUUCACUCUCUUUUGGUGUAUGUUAGUCCCUGUGUAUUAAACACACUUCUGACGUAUGUACGUGUUGGCCCAUUUAAUUAUAUAUUUACGUGGUUUGUCAGCUAGCUGGUUUGCUAAAUUAGCUUAGAACUAGGCUAGUUGCUAAUGCUAGCUAGCGAACAUCUCCGACCAUGAGUUCACUAAGCUGCUCUCCUCCUGCUAAAGUAGAGGAGGUCUUCUGGACGUAGAAAGAAGCUCCCCUGAAAGAGGAGGAGGAAGAGAAGGAUGUUACAAUACAAAAACAAGUAGAGGGUGAGGCUGUUCCCGUGAAAGAAGAAGAGAAAGACGUUUCAGUGAAAGAAAAGGAAGACUCGUUCAGAGUGAAAGAGGAGGAGGAUGUUACAGUAAAAGAAGAGGAAGCGGAGAGAGAGGAGGAUGCAGUUUAUGGAGUGAAAGAGGAGGAGGGGGAGAUGACUGUCACAUCGAAAAAGGAGGAGGAGGGCGAAGAGGAGGAAACUGGAUAUCUGGGCCCGGUUUCCCCAACGCAUCUUAACGCAUCCUAUGGUUCUGAUGGUGAACUCAGCCAUAAGAUGGUUUUGAGAAACCGGGCCGUGAUUAACACUAGAGAGAGAUGUGACUAUCGUGGAUCCUCAACAACAUCAUGAAGCUGACGAGGCAGAGAAGAGUCCCUCCGGAUCAGAACACCUCAAGAAACACCAGUGGAGACCAACAGGGAAGACAUCUCACUGCUGCUCUGACUGUGGGAAGAGUUACUUAAGAUCAAAUUCACUAAAAGUACACAUGAGAAUUCACACAGGAGAGAAAUCUUAUAGCUGUGAUCAAUGUGGGAAGAGUUUUACUUCAUCUAGCCAUCGGAUUGUACACCAGAGAACACACACAGGAGACAAAUCUUAUAGCUGUGAUCAAUGUGGGAAGAGUUUUACUCAGUCAAGCAGCCUGUUAUCUCACCAGAGAAAACACACAGGAGAGAAAUCUUUUAGCUGUGAUCAAUGUGACAAGAGAUACUCUGAUAAAAGAUCUCUGAUCAAACAUCAGAAAAUACAUUAAUGAUGGAGUUGUUUCAUGAUAUCAAUGAAUUAAUGUCACAAUGUAGAAUGUUUAAACAUUGUAGAAGGAGUAUUUUAAUGAUGUCGCAAUGUAGAAUGUUUAAACAUUGUAGAAGGAGUAUUUUAAUGAUGUCACAAUGUAGAAUGUUUAAACAUUGUAGAAGGAGUAUUUUAAUGAUGUCACAAUGUAGAAUGUUUAAACAUUGUAGAAGGAGUAUUUUAAUGAUGUCACAAUGUAGAAUGUUUAAACAUUGUAGAAGGAGUAUUUUAAUGAUGUCACAAUGUAGAAUGUUUUAACAUUGUAGAAGGAGUAUUUUAAUGAUGUCACAAUGUAGAAUGUUUAAACAUUGUAGAAGGAGUAUUUUAAUGAUGUCACAAUGUAGAAUGUUUAAACAUUGUAGAAGGAGUAUUUUAAUGAUGUCACAAUGUAGAAUGUUUUAACAUUGUAGAAGGAGUAUUUUAAUGAUGUCACAAUGUAGAAUGUUUAAACAUUGUAGUAGGAGUAUUUUAAUGAUGUCACAAUGUAGAAUGUUUUAACAUUGUAGUAGGAGUAUUUUAAUGAUGUCACAAUGUAGAAUGUUUAAACAUUGUAGUAGGAGUAUUUUAAUGAUGUCACAAUGUAGAAUGUUUUAACAUUGUAGUAGGAGUAUUUUAAUGAUGUCACAAUGUAGAAUGUUUUAACAUUGUAGAAGGAGUAUUUUAAUGAUGUCACAAUGUAGAAUGUUUAAACAUUGUUGUAGGAGUAAUUUAAUAAUGUCACAAUGUAGAACACUAAACGUUUGCCCCCUGUUCAAUUGAUUUCUGCAUAAUAUGGAUAUUAGCCUCAGGGGGAAAAUCCAGGCUCUGAAUGUAAAGAGUGAUAUUUAUAUGAUAUAACAGAAAGUGACUAACACAAAAAGAGCUGUGUUACACUUACAGCAUUGGUGACCCACUUGAAUCAAAAUGUAGCUAGAUGUUUUCUACAAGUUGUCCUCUAACCAGUGAUGUACACAUUAUUCCCAGAUUCCAUGUGGUUUUUGAGCUGUUAGUUUUUAACAGGACAACAACAUCUCCAGACUCUCACGCAAAUGAUUUCAACAUGAUAUCGAUGAGUGAUGAAAAAUAAGUGUUGCGUUCCUUUGUUUAACGACCUCUAAAUGUAAAUGCAUCUCUCCAAAAUGUAGCUGACUGUCUUCUGCAGGUUGUCCUCUAACCAGGGAGGUAAAAUAUAUCUCCCAUUUCCAUGUGUUUUUUUAGUUGUGUUAGUUUCAACUGCACCUACAACCUGAUUUGUCCGCUAACCAGUGAUACUUAUUACUUAUACUCAAUACUUAUUUUCCACCAUAAUUUGCAAAUAAAUUCAUUAAACAUCCUACAAUGUGA
Molecule: long non-coding RNA, 2567 nt
Organism: Oncorhynchus nerka (sockeye salmon)
Lineage: Eukaryota; Metazoa; Chordata; Actinopteri; Salmoniformes; Salmonidae
Exons: 2
Source: RefSeq, a predicted model, not a curated record